AAUGGGGUAAACCCUGACGCAGCAACGCCGCGUGGGUGAUGAAGGCCUUCGGGUCGUAAAGCCUGUCGGGAGGGAAGAAAUGAUUGAGUGCUAAUACCUCUUGGUCUUGACGGUACCUCCGAAGGAAGCACCGGCUAACUCCGUGCCAGCAGCCGCGGUAAUACGGAGGGUGCAAGCGUUGUUCGGAAUUAUUGGGCGUAAAGCGCGUGUAGGCGGUUUCUUAAGUCGGAUGUGAAAGCCCCGGGCUCAACCUGGGAAGUGCAGUGGAAACUGGGGGACUUGAGUACGGGAGAGGGUAGUGGAAUCCUAGUGUAGGAGUGAAAUCCGUAGAUAUUAGGAGGAACACCGGUGGCGAAGGCGGCUACCUGGACCGAUACUGACGCUGAGGCGCGAAAGCGUGGGGAGCAAA
Molecule: ribosomal RNA, 409 nt
Filed under: uncultured bacterium
Lineage: Bacteria
Description: bacterial SSU rRNA
Rfam family: Bacterial small subunit ribosomal RNA
Source: RNAcentral